This 410-nucleotide ribosomal RNA is filed under the name uncultured bacterium. RNAcentral describes it as "bacterial SSU rRNA". It matches the Rfam family "Bacterial small subunit ribosomal RNA", at positions 355 to 775 of the family's 1533-position model. The record is from RNAcentral.
UCGAGGAUCUUCGGCAAUGGGCGCAAGCCUGACCGAGCGACGCCGCGUGUGCGAUGAAGGCCUUCGGGUUGUAAAGCACUGUCGAGGGGGAGGAAGCCGCAAGGUUGACCUAUCCCUGGAGGAAGCACGGGCUAAGUUCGUGCCAGCAGCCGCGGUAAGACGAACCGUGCGAACGUUGUUCGGAAUCACUGGGCUUAAAGGGCGCGUAGGCGGACCACCAAGUCCGGGGUGAAAUCCUUCGGCUUAACCGGAGAAUUGCCUGGGAUACUGGUGGUCUUGAGGGAGGUAGGGGCACGCGGAACUUCCGGUGGAGCGGUGAAAUGCGUUGAUAUCGGAAGGAACGCCGGUGGCGAAAGCGGCGUGCUGGCCCUCUUCUGACGCUGAGGCGCGAAAGCCAGGGGAGCGAACGG